UGGGGGAUAUUAGAAAUGGACGAAAGUCUGAUCUAGCAACACCGCGUGUGCGAAGAAGGCCUUCGGGUUGUAAAGCACUUUUUGGAAGGAUUAGGAAGGAAUGUACUUCCAGAAUAAGCCUCGGCGAACUACGUGCCAGCAGCCGCGGUAAAACGUAGGAGGCUAGCGUUAUCCGGAUUUAUUGGGCGUAAAGUGCGUGCAGGCGGUCUGGUAAGUUGGAUGUGAAAGCUCCUGGCUUAACUGGGAGAGGUCGUUCAAUACUGUCAGACUAGAGAAUGGGAGAGGGAGGUGGAAUUCCAGGUGUAGCGGUGGAAUGCGCAGAUAUCUGGAGGAACACCAGUGGCGAAGGCGGCCUCCUGGACCAUUCCUGACACUCAGACGCGAAAGCUAGGGUAGCAAACG
RNAcentral lists this ribosomal RNA (402 nucleotides) under uncultured prokaryote. RNAcentral describes it as "bacterial SSU rRNA". It matches the Rfam family "Bacterial small subunit ribosomal RNA", at positions 355 to 774 of the family's 1533-position model. The record is from RNAcentral.